RNAcentral lists this ribosomal RNA (744 nucleotides) under Triticum aestivum (bread wheat). RNAcentral's name for it is "partial small subunit ribosomal RNA". Lineage: Eukaryota; Viridiplantae; Streptophyta; Magnoliopsida; Poales; Poaceae. The record is from RNAcentral.
AUGAGCCCACCAAAGACCCUCAGGGAAAUGCAAAAGCUCACCGGGCGUGUAACCGCUUUAGGACGUGUCAUCUCCAAGCUGGGAGAGCAGGCGCUGCCUUUCUUCAAGCUGAUGAAGAAGAAAGGCCCCUUUGAGUGGACUGAAGAGGCCGAUAGAGCAUUCCAAGACCUCAAGAGGUACCUUACCAGCCCCCUGGUGAUGGUGGCCCCUCGCCCUCGAGAGCCCCUGGUGCUCUACCUUGCAGCCACACCUUACUCCGCCAGCGCGGCCCUGGUAGCAGUCAGAAAGGAGUGUCAGGCCUCGGCCGCCGUCGCACUCCCGGCCGGAGUAGAACAGGGCCAGGAAGGCCUCGCAGAGACCAUGACCACAGCAGAGAAGGAUCAUCCCUGCCAUGAGAGCGCACCUGGAGCAGAGGAGGCCCCUUCAGGCGACCAUGGACCGAGGGCUGCACCGCCUCAGGAGGCGCCCCGACCUCCAGAAGACGCGGGCCGCUCCAGCACCCUCAAUCUCGUCGAGCACCCGGUAUACUUCAUUAGUACGGUGUUGCGGGAUGCAAGGGCGUGGUACCCAAUGCCUCAGAAACUCCUCCUCGCACUGUUGGUAGCCUCGCGCAAGCUGUGGCACUACUUUCAGGGCCAUCCUAUCAAGGUCGUCUCAGCUUACCCCCUGGAAAGGGUACUCAGGAGCCCCAAUUCAGCGAGGAGGGUUCCGAAUGGAACAUCGAACUACAAGCAUUCCAGCUAG